This 263-nucleotide ribosomal RNA is filed under the name uncultured bacterium. Its description in RNAcentral is "partial 16S ribosomal RNA". It matches the Rfam family "Bacterial small subunit ribosomal RNA", at positions 29 to 312 of the family's 1533-position model. The record is from RNAcentral.
AACGAACGCUGGCAGCAGGCCUAACACAUGCAAGUCGAACGUCCGUAGCAAUACGGAGUAGGCAGACGGGUGAGUAACGCGUGGGAACAUACCCUUCGGUUCGGAACAACUCAGGGGAAACUUGAGCUAAUAACCGGAUACGUGCGAGAGCAGAAAGAUUCAUCGCCGAAGGAUUGGCCCGACGUUACGAUUAGGCUAGUUGGUGAGGUAACGGCUCACCAAGGCGACGAUCGAUAGCUGGUCUGAGAGGAUGAUCAGCCACA